This 1650-nucleotide long non-coding RNA is filed under the name Ananas comosus (pineapple). RNAcentral's name for it is "long non-coding RNA (ACOM_LNC002869)". Lineage: Eukaryota; Viridiplantae; Streptophyta; Magnoliopsida; Poales; Bromeliaceae. The record is from RNAcentral.
UUUCAUCUUCAUCCUUUUUUUUAUAUAAUUUUUUAUCUUUAUUUUUUUUCUGUUUUUUUUUUGUCACCCUCUCUGUCAAUAGCCACGGUGUCGGUGACGACGCCGCUAAAGACCCCCCACUCCGAGGCUGCAGCGCCGCAGUGAUCUCCACGGUGUCGGCGUCGGUGUCGGCGAAGAUGCAUCGUCGUCGGAGGCAGCAGAGAAGGAGGGAGAAGGAGAGACGGGAAGGGCAGGGAAGAGCGAGAGAGGCGCCGUCGUCGAAAACUGUGGAGGAGAGUCAGAGAAGAAAAGAAAAGAAAAAUGCAAAAAAAAAAAGUCACAGUCCGGCCUUAGGGGGAUCGGAGGCGAGGAAGGUGGGGGCGCCGGUGGCGACGCCGCUUUGUCUUCACCGCUCUUUGGGAAGAGAAAGAAAAAAAAGAAUGAGAGAAAAAAGAGAAAAGAAAAAGGUAUAAGGGCACCUCCGCUCCGUUUUCGCCGCUCUCUGGGAAGAAAAAGAAAAAAGAACGAGAGAAAAAAAAGAGGAGAGAGAAAGAGGAAAGAGAAAAAGGUAUAAGGAUAUUUUGGUCAGUUUGCUGAAAAAGCGGACCGAAUCUGCAAAAGCCAAAAAGAUGGCCCGAUUUUGCAAAAGCCCAAAAUAAGUGGAUUUUUUAUGCAAAUUGGCCAAAAAAGAUUGAUUCAAAGGCCAAAAAGUUAGAAACACCAACUCACUUGUACUUUCCAAAAAGUAUAAUAACCGUACUAUUAUAAAAAAUACUAUCAAUACACCCUAUAAGGCUUAGUUUGGUAUUGAAGCCUAUCAAAGGCUAUUAGAUAAAAUGGAGUUGAGAAAAAAACAUAUAGGGAUAUGCUUUUACAUUUUCCGGUGGGACCGCAGAAAAUAUAUCGUAACUGACUCAUUGCGAUAUAGGGAACGCAAUAUUACGUACGGAAACAAACAUGGUACUUUUCCGACGUAGUUUCUCACCACACGAAACGUUAUCUCCCCGCAAUUCCAAACGAAGCCUAAGUAAGAUGUAAAUCUUAUUUAAAGACAUAAAGAUUUAUUUUUAAUUUUGUAGUAUUCCAAAAGAAAUAGAUAAAAUUAGUAAAAGUGUUAUUAGUCUUUCAAUGGUUAGGUUAUAAAAUUUACUCUAUUUUAUAGGUGUACCAAUAGAAUUAUUUGUCAUGGGCAUUACCAAAUUAAUAAUAUUGAAGAGUUUUUUUUUUUUUUUUUUAAAUCCAUGGUCACAACCUUUUUAUAAAACCAUAAGUCAACUUUGGGUGAUGUAUGUCCCAUUGUCAUCGAAUUGAGGAGAGGAAAAUUAUGACUUUUUAUUUUGUUUAAGACAUCAAAUGAAACACAAUACAUAGAAGGACCGCAGAAAAUUAUGACUUUUUAUUUUCCGGUGGGACCGCAGAAAAUAUAUCGUAACUGACUCAUUGCGAUAUACGGAACGCAAUAUUACGUACGGAAACAAACAUGGUACUUUUCCGACGUACUUUCUCACCACACGGAACGUUAUCUCCCCGCAAUUCCAAACGAAGCCUAAGUAAGAUGUAAAUCUUAUUUAAGGACAUAAAAAUUUAUUUUUUAUUUUGUAGUACUCCAAAAGAAAUAGAUAAAAUUAGUAAAAGUGUUAUUAGUCUUUCAAUGGUUAGGUUAUAAAAUUU